This 433-nucleotide ribosomal RNA is filed under the name uncultured bacterium. Its description in RNAcentral is "partial 16S ribosomal RNA". It matches the Rfam family "Bacterial small subunit ribosomal RNA", at positions 29 to 507 of the family's 1533-position model. The record is from RNAcentral.
AGCGAACGCUGGCGGCAGGCUUAACACAUGCAAGUCGAGCGGGCACUUCGGUGUCAGCGGCAGACGGGUGAGUAACACGUGGGAACGUACCCUUUGGUUCGGAAUAACGCUGGGAAACUAGCGCUAAUACCGGAUACGCCCUUUUGGGGAAAGGCUUGCUGCCGAAGGAUCGGCCCGCGUCUGAUUAGCUUGUUGGUUGGGUAAUGGCCUACCAAGGCUACGAUCAGUAGCUGGUCUGAGAGGAUGAUCAGCCACACUGGGACUGAGACACAGCCCAGACUCCUACGGGAGGGAGCAGUGGGGAAUAUAGGAAAAUGGGCGCAAGCCUGAUCAAGCCAGGGCGCGUGAGUGAUGAAGGCCUUAGGGUUGUAAAGCUCUUUUGUCCGGGACGAUAAUGACGGUACCGGAAGAAUAAGCCCCGGCUAACUUCGUG